AACGUAGGGGGCAAGCGUUGUUCGGAAUUACUGGGCGUAAAGCGCGUGUAGGCGGCUUGGUAAGUCGGAAGUGAAAGCCCUCGGCUCAACCGGGGAACUGCUUUCGAAACUGCCAGGCUUGAAUGCGGGAGGCGAGAGCCGAAUUCCCGGUGUAGCGGUGAAAUGCGUAGAUAUCGGGAAGAACACCGGUGGCGAAGGCGGCUCUCUGGACCGUGAUUGACGCUGGGACGCGAAGGCGUGGCGAGCAAACAGG
This 253-nucleotide ribosomal RNA is filed under the name uncultured bacterium. RNAcentral's name for it is "partial 16S ribosomal RNA". It matches the Rfam family "Bacterial small subunit ribosomal RNA", at positions 524 to 776 of the family's 1533-position model. The record is from RNAcentral.